Molecule: ribosomal RNA, 387 nt
Filed under: uncultured Glomeromycotina
Lineage: Eukaryota; Fungi; Glomeromycota
Description: SSU rRNA
Rfam family: Eukaryotic small subunit ribosomal RNA
Source: RNAcentral
AGCAGCCGCGGUAAUUCCAGCUCCAAUAGCGUAUAUUAAAGUUGUUGCAGUUAAAAAGCUCGUAGUUGAAUUUCGGGAUCAAGGAAUCGGUCAUGCCUUGGUAUGUACUGGUUUUAUUGGUUCUCACCUUCUAAAGAACCAUAAUGUCAUUCAUUUGAUGUUAUGAGGAAUUAGGACUGUUACCUUGAAAAAUUAGAGUGUUUAAAGCAGGCUUACGCUUGAAUACAUCAGCAUGGAAUAAUGAAAUAGGACAUCAGAUUCUAUUUUGUUGGUUUCUAGGAUCGAUGUAAUGAUUAAUAGGGAUAGUUGGGGCAUUAGUAUUCAAUUGUCAGAGGUGAAAUUCUUGGAUUUAUUGAAGACUAACUACUGCGAAAGCAUUUGCCAAGG